Molecule: ribosomal RNA, 811 nt
Filed under: Escherichia coli
Lineage: Bacteria; Pseudomonadati; Pseudomonadota; Gammaproteobacteria; Enterobacterales; Enterobacteriaceae
Also listed under: 6 other names
Description: bacterial LSU rRNA
Rfam family: Bacterial large subunit ribosomal RNA
Source: RNAcentral
GGGACACGUGGUAUCCUGUCUGAAUAUGGGGGGACCAUCCUCCAAGGCUAAAUACUCCUGACUGACCGAUAGUGAACCAGUACCGUGAGGGAAAGGCGAAAAGAACCCCGGCGAGGGGAGUGAAAAAGAACCUGAAACCGUGUACGUACAAGCAGUGGGAGCACGCUUAGGCGUGUGACUGCGUACCUUUUGUAUAAUGGGUCAGCGACUUAUAUUCUGUAGCAAGGUUAACCGAAUAGGGGAGCCGAAGGGAAACCGAGUCUUAACUGGGCGUUAAGUUGCAGGGUAUAGACCCGAAACCCGGUGAUCUAGCCAUGGGCAGGUUGAAGGUUGGGUAACACUAACUGGAGGACCGAACCGACUAAUGUUGAAAAAUUAGCGGAUGACUUGUGGCUGGGGGUGAAAGGCCAAUCAAACCGGGAGAUAGCUGGUUCUCCCCGAAAGCUAUUUAGGUAGCGCCUCGUGAAUUCAUCUCCGGGGGUAGAGCACUGUUUCGGCAAGGGGGUCAUCCCGACUUACCAACCCGAUGCAAACUGCGAAUACCGGAGAAUGUUAUCACGGGAGACACACGGCGGGUGCUAACGUCCGUCGUGAAGAGGGAAACAACCCAGACCGCCAGCUAAGGUCCCAAAGUCAUGGUUAAGUGGGAAACGAUGUGGGAAGGCCCAGACAGCCAGGAUGUUGGCUUAGAAGCAGCCAUCAUUUAAAGAAAGCGUAAUAGCUCACUGGUCGAGUCGGCCUGCGCGGAAGAUGUAACGGGGCUAAACCAUGCACCGAAGCUGCGGCAGCGACGCUUAUGCGUUGUUGGGUA